RNAcentral lists this ribosomal RNA (149 nucleotides) under uncultured bacterium. RNAcentral describes it as "partial 16S ribosomal RNA". It matches the Rfam family "Bacterial small subunit ribosomal RNA", at positions 358 to 524 of the family's 1533-position model. The record is from RNAcentral.
GGAAUAUUGCACAAUGGACGAAAGUCUGAUGCAGCAACGCCGCGUGGAGGAUGACACAUUUCGGUGCGUAAACUCCUUUUAUAUGAGAAGAUAAUGACGGUAUUAUAUGAAUAAGCACCGGCUAACUCCGUGCCAGCAGCCGCGGUAAU